AUAACCCCGAGAAAUCGGAGCUAAUACCGGAUAGGACCUUGCACCGCAUGGUGUGGGGUGNAAAGUUUUUCGGUNUGGNAUGGACUCNCGGCCUAUCAGCUUGUUGGUGAGGUAAUGGCUCACCAAGGCGUCGACGGGUAGCCGGCCUGAGAGGGUGACCGGCCNCACUGGGACUGAGACCGGCCCAGACUCCUACGGGAGGCAGCAGUGGGGAAUAUUGCACAAUGGGCGCAAGCCUGAUGCAGCAACGCCGCGUGCGGGAUGCGGCCUUCGGGUUGUAAACCGCUUUUAGUAAGGAAGAAGGGGCUUCGGCCUUGACGGUACUUGCAGAAAAAGGACCGGCUAACUACGUGCCAGCAGCCGCGGUAAUACGUAGGGUCCGAGCGUUGUCCGGAAUUAUUGGGCGUAAAGAGCUCGUAGGCGGUUUGUCGCGUCUGCUGUGAAAUCCCGAGGCUCAACCUCGGGCCUGCAGUGGGUACGGGCAGACUUGAGUGGUGUAGGGGAGACUGGAAUUCCUGGUGUAGCGGUGGAAUGCGCAGAUAUNAGGAGGAACACCGAUGGCGAAGGCAGGUCUCUGGGCACUUACUGACGCUGAGGAGCGA
RNAcentral lists this ribosomal RNA (602 nucleotides) under Agromyces sp. 02-G20. Its description in RNAcentral is "bacterial SSU rRNA". It matches the Rfam family "Bacterial small subunit ribosomal RNA", at positions 143 to 756 of the family's 1533-position model. The record is from RNAcentral. Lineage: Bacteria; Bacillati; Actinomycetota; Actinomycetes; Micrococcales; Microbacteriaceae.